GGGGCUGUAGCUCAGUGGCAGAGCACUUGCCUGGCAUGCAUGAGGCAUGGGGUUCAAUCCUCAGCACCA
This 69-nucleotide transfer RNA is filed under the name Marmota marmota marmota (Alpine marmot). It matches the Rfam family "tRNA". Rfam says of the family: Transfer RNA (tRNA) molecules are approximately 80 nucleotides in length. Their secondary structure includes four short double-helical elements and three loops (D, anti-codon, and T loops). RNAcentral also lists the same sequence under 1 other name. The record is from Rfam by way of RNAcentral. Lineage: Eukaryota; Metazoa; Chordata; Mammalia; Rodentia; Sciuridae.